CCUACGGGAGGCAGCAGUGAGGAAUAUUGGUCAAUGGGCGCGAGCCUGAACCAGCCAAGUAGCGUGAAGGAUGACUGCCCUACGGGUUGUACACUUCUUUUAUAAAGGAUUAAAGUGAGGCACGUGUGCCUUUUUGUAUGUACUUUAUGACUAAGGCUCGGCUAACUCCGUGCCAGCAGCCGCGGUAAUACCGGGGAUCCGAGCGUUUACCGGAUUUGUUGGGUUUAAAAGGCGCGUAGAUGGGUUGUUAAGUCAGUUGUGAAAGUUUGCGGCUCAACCGUAAAAUUGCAAUUGAUACUGGCAGUCUUGAGUACAGUUGAGGUAGGCGGAAUUCGUGGUGUAGCGGUGAAAUGCUUAGAUAUCACGAAGAACUCCGAUUGCGAAGGCAGCUUACUAAACUGCCACUGACAUUGAUGCUCGAAAGUGUGGGUAUCAAACAGGAUUAGAUACCCUGGUAGUC
RNAcentral lists this ribosomal RNA (460 nucleotides) under uncultured bacterium. RNAcentral's name for it is "partial 16S ribosomal RNA". It matches the Rfam family "Bacterial small subunit ribosomal RNA", at positions 338 to 795 of the family's 1533-position model. The record is from RNAcentral.